RNAcentral lists this ribosomal RNA (253 nucleotides) under uncultured bacterium. Its description in RNAcentral is "partial 16S ribosomal RNA". It matches the Rfam family "Bacterial small subunit ribosomal RNA", at positions 524 to 776 of the family's 1533-position model. The record is from RNAcentral.
UACAGAGGUCCCAAGCGUUGUUCGGAUUCACUGGGCGUAAAGGGUGCGUAGGUGGCGAGGUAAGUCGGAUGUGAAAUCUCCGAGCUCAACUCGGAAAUGGCAUUGGAAACUACCUUGCUCGAGGGUUGGAGGGGGGACUGGAAUACUUGGUGUAGCAGUGAAAUGCGUAGAUAUCAAGUGGAACACCAGUGGCGAAGGCGAGCCCCUGGACAACUCCUGACACUGAGGCACGAAAGCUAGGGGAGCAAACAGG